CCUACGGGGUGCAGCAGUCGAGAAUCAUUCACAAUGGGGGAAACCCUGAUGGUGCGACGCCGCGUGGGGGAAUGAAGGUCUUCGGAUUGUAAACCCCUGUCAUGUGGGAGCAAAUUAAAAAGAUAGUACCACAAGAGGAAGAGACGGCUAACUCUGUGCCAGCAGCCACGGGAAUACAGAGGUCUCAAGCGUAGUUCGGAUUCACUGGGCGUAAAGCGUGCGUAGGCUGUUUCGUAAGGCGUGUGUGAAAGGCGCGGGCUCAACACGCGGAAGGCACAUGAUACUGCGAGACUAGAGUAAUGGAGGGGGAACCGGAAUUCUCGGUGUAGCAGUGAAAUGCGUAGAUAUCGAGAGGAACACUCGUGGCGAAGGAGGGUUCCUGGACAUUAACUGACGCUGAGGCACGAAGGCCAGGGGAGCGAAAGGGAUUAGAUACCCGUGUAGUC
This 446-nucleotide ribosomal RNA is filed under the name uncultured bacterium. RNAcentral describes it as "partial 16S ribosomal RNA". It matches the Rfam family "Bacterial small subunit ribosomal RNA", at positions 338 to 795 of the family's 1533-position model. The record is from RNAcentral.